GAUGAACGCUGGCGGCGUGCCUAAUACAUGCAAGUCGAGCGAACAGACGAGGAGCUUGCUCCUCUGACGUUAGCGGCGGACGGGUGAGUAACACGUGGAUAACCUACCUAUAAGACUGGGAUAACUUCGGGAAACCGGAGCUAAUACCGGAUAAUAUAUUGAACCGCAUGGUUCAAUAGUGAAAGACGGUUUUGCUGUCACUUAUAGAUGGAUCCGCGCCGCAUUAGCUAGUUGGUAAGGUAACGGCUUACCAAGGCAACGAUGCGUAGCCGACCUGAGAGGGUGAUCGGCCACACGGAAACUGAGACCCGGCCCAGCCCCCGAGGGGAGGCAGAAGUAGGGAUUCUCCCGAAAGGGGCGAAAGUUUGACGGAGCAACGCCGGGGGAGUGAUGAAGGUUUUCGGAUCGAAAACCCUUUUUAUAGGGAAAAAAAAAAUGUGAAAGUAACUAUGCACGUCUGGACGGUACCAAUACAAAAAGCCACGGCUAACUACGC
Molecule: ribosomal RNA, 496 nt
Filed under: uncultured bacterium
Lineage: Bacteria
Description: partial 16S ribosomal RNA
Rfam family: Bacterial small subunit ribosomal RNA
Source: RNAcentral